CCUACGGGUGGCAGCAGUGGGGAAUAUUGCGCAAUGGGCGAAAGCCUGACGCAGCGACGCCGCGUGAGGGAUGAAGGUCUUCGGAUCGUAAAACUCUGUCAGCAGGGAAGAAAGGGCACUGUGCUAAUCAUCAGUGAAUUGACGGUACCUGCAAAGGAAGCACCGGCUAACUCCGUGCCAGCAGCCGCGGUAAUACGGAGGGGGCGAGCGUUAAUCGGAAUUACUGGGCGUAAAGCGCUCGUAGGCGGUAUGUCAAGGCAAGGGUGAAAUCCCCGCGCUCAACGUGGGAAGUGCCUUUGAAACGGGAAAACUGGAGUGUGUGGGAGGAAGGUGGAAUUCCAGGUGUAGGAGUGAAAU
Molecule: ribosomal RNA, 357 nt
Filed under: uncultured bacterium
Lineage: Bacteria
Description: partial 16S ribosomal RNA
Rfam family: Bacterial small subunit ribosomal RNA
Source: RNAcentral